This 309-nucleotide long non-coding RNA is filed under the name Gossypium raimondii (Peruvian cotton). RNAcentral's name for it is "long non-coding RNA (GRAI_LNC004443)". The record is from RNAcentral. Lineage: Eukaryota; Viridiplantae; Streptophyta; Magnoliopsida; Malvales; Malvaceae.
GGACCUAAAUGCGCAAUUUCCCCAUUCAGGCUAUAACGCACGGGUCCUCCCCUCCGGGUCUGGUCACCGCGCGGGUCAUGCCUGGGUAAAACGGUGCCGUUUUGCUCUGUUAUUUAAAACAGAUUUUUCCUCUAAAAUCAUUUGCAACCGAAUGAAAGAAAAAAAAUAAAAAAAAUGCCCUCUUUUGCUCUGCUAGGGUUUCGUCCCUAGCAUCCCUGCGCCGCCGUUCGCCCGUGCCAAUGCUUCGAUCGCGACGAAGUUGGCAACAAUCCGGCGUCGUCGACAAAGAACGGUAAGGUUCCUCUUCUC